This 24-nucleotide non-coding RNA is filed under the name Arabidopsis thaliana (thale cress). The record is from RNAcentral. Lineage: Eukaryota; Viridiplantae; Streptophyta; Magnoliopsida; Brassicales; Brassicaceae.
GACUUUAUAAGCAACGUUAUAGAG